Molecule: long non-coding RNA, 610 nt
Organism: Mastomys coucha (southern multimammate mouse)
Lineage: Eukaryota; Metazoa; Chordata; Mammalia; Rodentia; Muridae
Exons: 3
Source: RefSeq, a predicted model, not a curated record
GCAGCUGACUCAGUGUUGAGAUAUCAGCCAUCAAUACAUGAAUCGGACAGGAUGAGAGGAAGAGGAAAGAGGAGGCUGAACAGAGGUCCUGGCUGUUAAGUGACAGAAUGGACAUUUCCUCCUUGAAUGUGAGCAAAUGAGUUGACACAGGAAAAGCCUGACUCAGAGCCACUUCCACGGGAGCGAUAAAUUGGAAAUGUAAUCUGGCUUCACAUAGGAGGGAUUUUUUUUCCUGGAGAAAAAACACUCUGCCAGGAGUGAGAGAACUGAAGGACUGAGGACAUCUUUUCAUUUCACAAAGUCAAGUGUCACAAUCUAAGGCACUUCUAAAAUAUUAUAUGUUAUAUAUGUAUGUAUAUAUAAAGUAUAUAUUAAACACAUAUAUAUCCUCUGCUCACAACAUCAUCAGUGUAACACAAGUACCCCAUGUAUGGUUAGUAAAGUAGAAUACUAAUAUAACCCUGCUAGAGAUUAUUAUCAUUUGUUUUCAUGUAAGUUUUGUAUGUAGACCCAAUGAAGUAAUGAUAACUUUGAGAGAAAUUACAUACAUGAAGAUGUCCCUUGCCAGGGUAUAAUGCUAAAAUGGAAUAAUAAAGAAAUUUUGCCACAA